Octopus bimaculoides (California two-spot octopus) is the source of this 696-nucleotide long non-coding RNA. NCBI's taxonomy places the organism in Eukaryota, Metazoa, Mollusca, Cephalopoda, Octopoda, Octopodidae. The record is from RefSeq and is a predicted model, not a curated record.
GAGUAGACAUUGUCAGCAGUGGAAUCUCUCUUUGCCACCCACACUCAUGCCCUCACUCUCACUCUCACUCCCACUCAUAUUUGCAACUCACAGCUCACACCAACCGUCUCCCCAGCAAACGGUCACAUUGGCCCUUGUCUGUGUUUAGAGUUUUGCACAACAACAGGCAAGGAUUUAACAGCAACAACAACAGGAAGAAGACCACAAAUGCAUAUAUAAUACACACACAUAUUUACAAUUGUUAAAUACUUUUACAUUUUCUACACGCAGUAAUUGUAGUUUGUCGUUGCUGUGCAUGUGUGUGUAUAUAUAUAUAUAUAUACACACACACAAACACAUACAUACACUCAUAUAUAUAUAUAUGUAUAUACACAAUACAGAUGUUUCCCGAGAUGCUGCCGACAUUAUUUGAAAUUCUCACACUUGUAUUGCUUCUACAAUUCCAUGGGUCAGACAGCUGUUUAGGCACCUGCAAACCCCUUAAAACGAAGCCCCCACCACACAUCUUCCGCCUGCUGCCACAGAUGUUCAAGGCUCGAAUCCAGCUUACAGACGUCAUGCGGAACCAAACGAGCCUGGUGGAGGAGUAUUAUGACAUGACUAAACUAAAGGCUGGAUCAAUCACUGAGUACAGACGUCACCGCAAGAGAACACAAAUAAUUGAUUACAAGCACCAGAAGAUUGUUUAUUACAACG